Molecule: unclassified non-coding RNA, 193 nt
Filed under: uncultured Herpotrichiellaceae
Lineage: Eukaryota; Fungi; Ascomycota; Eurotiomycetes; Chaetothyriales; Herpotrichiellaceae
Description: sequence contains ITS1
Source: RNAcentral
CUGAGUUAGGGUCUUCUUAGGCCCGACCUCCCAACCCUAUGUCUACCUUACCACUUGUUGCUUCGGCGGGCCCGUCCUGAAAAGGACCGCCGGAGGACCGUCACACGUCCUCUGGCCCGCGCCCGUCGAUAGCCCCAAUUUACAAACUCUGAAUAAAACAUGUAUUAUCUGAGUAUCUUUAUAAAUUAAAGCA